UACGAAGGUGGCAAGCGUUGUUCGGAUUUACUGGGCGUACAGGGAGCGUAGGCGGUUGGGUAAGCCCUCCGUGAAAUCUCCGGGCCUAACCCGGAAAGUGCGGAGGGGACUGCUCGGCUAGAGGAUGGGAGAGGAGCGUGGAAUUCCCGGUGUAGCGGUGAAAUGCGUAGAGAUCGGGAGGAAGGCCGGUGGCGAAGGCGGCGCUCUGGAACAUUUCUGACGCUGAGGCUCGAAAGCGUGGGGAGCAAACAGG
This 253-nucleotide ribosomal RNA is filed under the name uncultured bacterium. RNAcentral's name for it is "partial 16S ribosomal RNA". It matches the Rfam family "Bacterial small subunit ribosomal RNA", at positions 524 to 776 of the family's 1533-position model. The record is from RNAcentral.